AACGAACGCUGGCGGCAGGCUUAACACAUGCAAGUCGAACGGAUGUAGCAAUACAUUAGUGGCGCACGGGUGAGUAACGCGUGGGAACGUACCCUUAGAUACGGGACAACAUCGGGAAACUGAUGCUAAUACCGUAUAAUGUCUUCGGACCAAAGAUUUAUCGUCUAAGGAUCGGCCCGCGUUAGAUUAGGUAGUUGGUGAGGUAAAGGCUCACCAAGCCGACGAUCUAUAGCUGGUCUGAGAGGAUGAU
This 250-nucleotide ribosomal RNA is filed under the name uncultured bacterium. RNAcentral describes it as "partial 16S ribosomal RNA". It matches the Rfam family "Bacterial small subunit ribosomal RNA", at positions 29 to 304 of the family's 1533-position model. The record is from RNAcentral.